GUAUUAGUUAAGUUCUUGAAACCCAGAGGAUUUGGCGGUAUUUUAUUCUUUCCAGAGGAACCUGUCCCUUAAUCGAUAUUCCACGAUUUUAAUUACUUAUUUUUGUAUUCAGCUUGUAUACCUCCGUCAUAAGGAUGUCUUUUUAGAGUUAAUUUCCUAUUUUAUUUAAUGUAAAAAUGUCAGGUCAAGGUGCAGUUUAUGGAUAAGUGGAGGUGGGUUACAAUAAUAUUAUUUAUAUGGAAACAUAAAUUUAAUUUAUGUUGAAGGUGGAUUUGGCAGUAAAUUUAAUUAUUAAUUUUUUUGAUUUUGCUCUAAAAUAUGCACACAUCGCCCG
RNAcentral lists this ribosomal RNA (334 nucleotides) under Philoganga vetusta. RNAcentral's name for it is "partial 12S ribosomal RNA". The record is from RNAcentral. Lineage: Eukaryota; Metazoa; Arthropoda; Insecta; Odonata; Diphlebiidae.